UGGGGAAUAUUGCACAAUGGGGGAAACCCUGAUGCAGCGACGCCGCGUGAGGGAUGACGGCCUUCGGGUUGUAAACCUCUUUCAGUAGGGAAGAAGCGAAAGUGACGGUACCUGCAGAAGAAGCGCCGGCUAACUACGUGCCAGCAGCCGCGGUAAUACGUAGGGCGCAAGCGUUGUCCGGAAUUAUUGGGCGUAAGGAGCUCGUAGGUGGUUUGUCGCGUCUGGUGUGAAAUCUUACCGCUUAACGGUGAGCUUGCAUUGGGUACGGGCAGACUAGAGUGCGGUAGGGGAGACUGGAAUUCCUGGUGUAGCGGUGGAAUGCGCAGAUAUCAGGAGGAACACCGAUGGCGAAGGCAGGUCUCUGGGCCGCAACUGACGCUGAGGAGCGAAAGCAUGGGGAGCGAACAGGAUUAGAUAGCCCUGGUAGUCCAUGCCGUAAACGUUGGGCACUAGGUGUGGGGCU
This 463-nucleotide ribosomal RNA is filed under the name uncultured bacterium. RNAcentral's name for it is "partial 16S ribosomal RNA". It matches the Rfam family "Bacterial small subunit ribosomal RNA", at positions 355 to 829 of the family's 1533-position model. The record is from RNAcentral.